GGGAACAUAGCUCAGUUGGUAGAGCAACGGAUUGAAGCUCCGUGUGUCGCAAGUUCGAUUCCUGCUGUUCCCG
Molecule: transfer RNA, 73 nt
Filed under: Streptococcus suis
Lineage: Bacteria; Bacillati; Bacillota; Bacilli; Lactobacillales; Streptococcaceae
Also listed under: 1 other name
Description: tRNA-Phe(gaa)
Rfam family: tRNA
About the family: Transfer RNA (tRNA) molecules are approximately 80 nucleotides in length. Their secondary structure includes four short double-helical elements and three loops (D, anti-codon, and T loops). Further hydrogen bonds mediate the characteristic L-shaped molecular structure. tRNAs have two regions of fundamental functional importance: the anti-codon, which is responsible for specific mRNA codon recognition, and the 3' end, to which the tRNAs corresponding amino acid is attached (by aminoacyl-tRNA synthetases). tRNAs cope with the degeneracy of the genetic code in two manners: having more than one tRNA (with a specific anti-codon) for a particular amino acid; and 'wobble' base-pairing, i.e. permitting non-standard base-pairing at the 3rd anti-codon position.
Source: RNAcentral